RNAcentral lists this ribosomal RNA (515 nucleotides) under uncultured bacterium. RNAcentral's name for it is "partial 16S ribosomal RNA". It matches the Rfam family "Bacterial small subunit ribosomal RNA", at positions 28 to 523 of the family's 1533-position model. The record is from RNAcentral.
GAUGAACGCUGGCGGCGUGCCUAAUACAUGCAAGUCGAGCGAAUGGAUUAAGAGCUUGCUCUUAUGAUGUUAGCGGCGGACGGGUGAGUAACACGUGGGUAACCUGCCCAUAAGACUGGGAUAACUCCGGGAAACCGGGGCUAAUACCGGAUAACAUUUUGAACCGCAUGGUUCGAAAUUGAAAGGCGGCUUCGGCUGUCACUUAUGGAUGGACCCGCGUCGCAUUAGCUAGUUGGUGAGGUAACGGCUCACCAAGGCAACGAUGCGUAGCCGACCUGGGAGGGUGAUCGGCCACACUGGGACUGAGACACGGCCCAGACUCCUACGGGAGGCAGCAGUAGGGAAUCUUCCGCAAUGGACGAAAGUCUGACGGAGCAACGCCGCGUGAGUGAUGAAGGCUUUCGGGUCGUAAAACUCUGUUGUUAGGGAAGAACAAGUGCUAGUUGAAUAAGCUGGCACCUUGACGGUACCUAACUAGAAAGCCACGGCUAACUACGUGCCAGCCGCCGCGGUAA